This 504-nucleotide ribosomal RNA is filed under the name uncultured bacterium. RNAcentral describes it as "partial 16S ribosomal RNA". It matches the Rfam family "Bacterial small subunit ribosomal RNA", at positions 29 to 523 of the family's 1533-position model. The record is from RNAcentral.
AUUGAACGCUGGCGGCAGGCCUAACACAUGCAAGUCGAACGGUAGCACAGAGAGCUUGCUCUCGGGUGACGAGUGGCGGACGGGUGAGUAACGUCUGGGAAACUGCCCGAUGGAGGGGGAUAACUACUGGAAACGGUAGCUAAUACCGCAUAACGGCGCAAGACCGAAGUGGGGGACCUUCGGGCCUCACACCAUCGGAUGUGCCCAGAUGGGAUUAGCUAGUAGGUGGGGUAAUGGCUGACCUAGGCGACGAUCCCUAGCUGUGCUGAGAGGAUGACCAGCCACACUGGAACUGAGACACGGUCCAGACUCCUACGUGAGGCAGCAGUGGGGAAUAUUGAACAAUGGGCGCAAGCCUGAUGCAGCCAUGCCGCGUGUAUGAAGAAGGCCUUCGGGUUGUAAAGUACUUUCAGCGGGGAGGAAGGCGGUGAAGUUAAUAGCUUCACCGAUUGACGUUACCCGCAGAAGAAGCACCGGCUAACUCCGUGCCAGCAGCCGCAGUAA